GGAUUUGGAAGAGAACGCUGGUGGAGAAGAUGCACGCAAGGCCACCAAGCCAGCUGCAACAGCAGCAUGAGCAGCAGUUAAUUGGAGGAAACAAACCAAAUGGGAUAGCUGAUGAACGCGGCAAACAGUCGAACAAUGGAAGUACUUACAUUGUCAAGGCAGAAAUCGAUCAAGAGUAAAUUGACAGCAGCAGCAGCAUCAUCCAGGCAGCCAAACGUGCUCCCAAACCAGGCAGUUUACCUAAUAUUGACCAUCCAAUGUCACUGUAAAGACCUGAAAUACAUGCAAUGAUUUAACAUGAUAUUUUUGUGCAGAGCAAAGUAGCAUAUGGGCAUCAGAAAUAUGUUACUUUAGAAUGCAGAGCAAAGUAAACCUCUCAACUCCACUAGUUAUUAUUAUGAGUACAAUGAUCCCCUUUGAUACCAUCAUACAUGAAUUAGAAUCUCUAAAGUAUGUCAAUCAGGGAUGAUAAUAUGAAGCAGGCACAGCGACAGAAUGAAGUGAAAUCUUUAUGCAAGCCCAUGUACUUUGGUAUAAAGAAGCAUUGAAGCAAUUAAAAGCAAGCUUCUAGAUCUGUGUUUGGAUGACAAAAAAUUGUACAAGCUGAGUUAUUUGAUGAAAUAAUCCAAGCCUUUAGGCUCCUACUGGAUAUGCUCUUAAUGUAGACAGUGCGUAGAUCCACUAUGGACAGUUGGACACAAUCACAGUAAGAUCUUAUCUAUUGUAGAUGUAUUGUCUUUGUUAGGAUCACAAGCUAUAUGGAUCAUGAUGGACUGUUACUAAUAGCUGAAUGGCAAUCUAAGAAGUCAGACACUACCAGUUCUAGGCUGUCAACUCAGCAAGCAACAUCGCAAUCCUCUCAACACAACUAGUUAUUAUUAUGCAUUGGCAUCAAAGGGGAUCAAAGAUUUAAUCACUAAUCACAGAUCACGACAGAACAACCAAACGAAGGAAGAUCUCUACUCGUCUAGUAGCAAGCAGGCAAGCAACCAAACACCUGCAGGGCCCACGUCAGUUCCAUGGACGAACGCGUACCAAAUCUGAACUGCUGCUCGAGCCUGAGCCCGACGAGC
This 1073-nucleotide long non-coding RNA is filed under the name Triticum aestivum (bread wheat). RNAcentral's name for it is "long non-coding RNA (TAES_LNC001944)". The record is from RNAcentral. Lineage: Eukaryota; Viridiplantae; Streptophyta; Magnoliopsida; Poales; Poaceae.